This 69-nucleotide transfer RNA is filed under the name Marmota monax (woodchuck). RNAcentral's name for it is "tRNA.Ala". It matches the Rfam family "tRNA", at positions 5 to 66 of the family's 71-position model. From Rfam's summary of the family: Transfer RNA (tRNA) molecules are approximately 80 nucleotides in length. Their secondary structure includes four short double-helical elements and three loops (D, anti-codon, and T loops). Further hydrogen bonds mediate the characteristic L-shaped molecular structure. tRNAs have two regions of fundamental functional importance: the anti-codon, which is responsible for specific mRNA codon recognition, and the 3' end, to which the tRNAs corresponding amino acid is attached (by aminoacyl-tRNA synthetases). tRNAs cope with the degeneracy of the genetic code in two manners: having more than one tRNA (with a specific anti-codon) for a particular amino acid; and 'wobble' base-pairing, i.e. permitting non-standard base-pairing at the 3rd anti-codon position. The record is from RNAcentral. Lineage: Eukaryota; Metazoa; Chordata; Mammalia; Rodentia; Sciuridae.
GUUUGUAGCUCAGUGGUAGAGCACUUGCCUAGCACAUGUGAGACUCUGGGUUCAAUCCUCAGCAACACA